GAUGAAGAACGUAGCGUAAUGCGAAAAGUAAUGUGAAUUGCAGAAUUCAGUGAAUCAUCGAAUCUUUGAACGCACAUUGCGCCCGCCAGUAUUCUGGCGGGCAUGCCUGUCUGAGCGUCAUUUCAACCCUCACGCCCCUAGGGCGUGGUGUUGGGGAUCGGCCAAGGCCCGCAAGGGACGGCCGGCCCCUAAAUCUAGUGGCGGACCCAUCGUGGCCUCCCCUGCGAAGUAGUAAUAUAUUCCGCAUCGGAUAGCGAUGAGCCCCUGCCGUUAAACCCCCAACUCUUUCAAGGUUGACCUCAGAUCAGGUAGGAAUACCCGCUGAACUUAAGCAUAUCAAUAAGCGGAGGA
This 351-nucleotide unclassified non-coding RNA is filed under the name soil metagenome. Its description in RNAcentral is "partial contains 5.8S ribosomal RNA, internal transcribed spacer 2, and large subunit ribosomal RNA". The stretch from base 1 to 120 matches the Rfam family "5.8S ribosomal RNA", at positions 35 to 154 of the family's 154-position model. The record is from RNAcentral.